Long non-coding RNA from Mustela erminea (ermine), 579 nucleotides. RefSeq lists it as uncharacterized. The record is from RefSeq and is a predicted model, not a curated record. The transcript is spliced from 5 exons. NCBI's taxonomy places the organism in Eukaryota, Metazoa, Chordata, Mammalia, Carnivora, Mustelidae.
CCAGGAGAGCGAGAGGAAGGCGCACAGGCAGAAGAGCAGCAGCGUCAGGAAGGUGCCAUUGCGGAGCCUCAUCUCCUCGGGUUUUAUUUAUUGGAGAGAGCGAGACAGAUAGUGAGAGAGGGCAAGAGCAGGGAGGAGAGGGAGAAGAAGGCUUCACCGGCAGCAGGAAGCUCCACUCAGGACUCCAUCCCAGGACUCUGGGAUCAUGACCCAAGAGGAAGGCCGUUGCCCAACCAACUCAGCCACCCAGGUGCUAAGGGAAUCUCCUGCCCCCUGAGAGUUUAGAAGUCCUGCCCUAAGCCUCACCUUGGCCCUCAGCAGUCCCUUCUUUCCUUGGACACCUCAUUUCCAUUUUCAUUCAUAACCAAUGUUCUGUGUGUUCGCCGUGUGUCAGACAUGCCUGAGUCACCAAUGAUACCAGGGACACUAGCCGGGACACUACCCAGCUGGCAUCCUGUCUCUGGCCACUCCACCCAGUCCUGGAAAGGUCCUGGGCUGGAACGAAGGGUGUGACGUUACCUCAGGGGAGCAGAUUUUAUGUAUUUAUUUGAGAGAGAGCAAGCAAGCACAAGUCGGGGG